Molecule: ribosomal RNA, 301 nt
Filed under: uncultured bacterium
Lineage: Bacteria
Description: partial 16S ribosomal RNA
Rfam family: Bacterial small subunit ribosomal RNA
Source: RNAcentral
CAGUCGCCGCGGUAAUACGUAGGGUGCGAGCGUUAAUCGGAAUUACUGGGCGUAAAGCGUGCGCAGGCGGCUUUGCAAGACAGAUGUGAAAUCCCCGGGCUCAACCUGGGAACUGCAUUUGUGACUGCAAGGCUAGAGUGCGGCAGAGGGAGAUGGAAUUCCGCGUGUAGCAGUGAAAUGCGUAGAUAUGCGGAGGAACACCGAUGGCGAAGGCAAUCUCCUGGGCCUGCACUGACGCUCAUGCACGAAAGCGUGGGGAGCAAACAGGAUUAGAUACCCCGGUAGUCCCUGUCUCUUAUAC